Molecule: ribosomal RNA, 701 nt
Filed under: Prymnesium parvum
Lineage: Eukaryota; Haptophyta; Prymnesiales; Prymnesiaceae
Description: partial Bacterial large subunit ribosomal RNA
Rfam family: Bacterial large subunit ribosomal RNA
Source: RNAcentral
GAGUCGUCCUGCGCGGAAGAUGUAACGGGGCUAAGCCAGUUACCGAAGCUGCGGAUGCACAGUUUACUGUGCGUGGUAGGAGAGCGUUCUGUACGCCUGUGAAGGUGGGUCGUGAGGCCUGCUGGAGGUAUCAGAAGUGCGAAUGCUGACAUGAGUAGCGUUAAAGGGGGUCAAAAGCCCCCUCGCCGUAAGCGCAAGGUUUCCUACGCAACGUUCAUCGGCGUAGGGUGAGUCGGCCCCUAAGGCGAGGCAGAGAUGCGUAGCUGAUGGGAAGCAGGUUAAUAUUCCUGCACCGUCGUAUGAUGCGAUGGGGGGACGGAUCGCGGAAGGUUGUCCAGCUGUUGGAAUAGCUGGUUUCUGGUUCAUAGAAGGCGCUUAGGCAAAUCCGGGCGCAGGAUUCAAGGGACUGGGACGUGUACCCAUGUGGUACGAAGCAAUCGGAAGUGGUUCCAAGAAAAGCCUCUAAGCUUCAGUCAUACGAGACCGUACCGCAAACCGACACAGGUGGGCGAGAUGAGUAUUCUAAGGCGCUUGAGAGAACUCGGGAGAAGGAACUCGGCAAAUUGGUACCGUAACUUCGGGAUAAGGUACGCCUCGGUAGCUUGAAUGGUUUACUCCAUGAGGGCGAAAAGGUUGCAAUAAAAUGGUGGCUGCGACUGUUUAAUAAAAACACAGCACUCUGCAAACACGAAAGUGGACGU